CCCUAUGGGGUGCAGCAGGCGCAGCCCGAACGCCUUUGCGACAAGCCCGGACCUGCCGGCCCCGGUGACAUAGAUCCGUUUUGCUGCAAGCAGUUCAGAAUAAAAUGCAGUAAUCUGGACCCGGUCGAGCGUACCUGCAGUCCUGACGAUGGAAUCGCCCAUCUUCUGCAUGAAUCCGGGAAUAUGGGAAUCUUCGUUUGCCAUAGGAGUAUCCUGUGGAUCUCUCGUACCCGGCAAUAUCAGGGUAUCGAUCUACUCCUUUCCUGUAACGUCCGCAUGGGUGUUCCGGAACCGGAUCAGGCUGUCGCAGAACUCUCCCAGGUACUCAUCCAUCGAGAGACUGCCCUCUUCAAAGACACAGUCGCCCUCUUCGAUCACUUUGUUGAGC
RNAcentral lists this ribosomal RNA (388 nucleotides) under uncultured prokaryote. RNAcentral's name for it is "partial 16S ribosomal RNA". The record is from RNAcentral.